CCUACGGGUGGCAGCAGUGAGGAAUAUUGGGCAAUGGGCUCAAGCCUGACCCAGCAAAGCCGCGUGAGGGAAGAAGGCUUUCUGGUUGGAAACUUCUUUUCUCAGGGGCGCAACAAGUGACGGUACCUGACGGAUAAACCACAGCUAACUACAGGACAGCAGCCACAGGAAUUCGUAGGUGGCAGGCAUUAUCCGGAUUUAAUGGGUUUAACGGGCGUGUAGGGGGGGACGCAAGUCAGAUGGGAAAGCCACGGGCUCAACCUGUGGCCCGCAUUUGACACUGUGUUGCUUGAGUACUUGAGAGGCAGACGGAAUGCGUAGUGUAGCGGUGAAAUGCGUAGAUAUUAGGAGGAACACCAGUGGCGAAGGCGGCCUGCUGGACAGCAACUGACGCUGAGGCGCGAAAGCGUGGGGAGCAAACAGGAUUAGAUACCCUUGUAGUC
This 443-nucleotide ribosomal RNA is filed under the name uncultured bacterium. Its description in RNAcentral is "partial 16S ribosomal RNA". It matches the Rfam family "Bacterial small subunit ribosomal RNA", at positions 338 to 795 of the family's 1533-position model. The record is from RNAcentral.